CAAGAUUCUCACUGAAUAAAUAUUUCCUCAAUUACUAGAGAAACACAUUUGUCCUUUUUCAUUAUAUUUCUACAAGCGACAUAUACUAUAAAAGGGUAUCCAGAAUCAUACCACAUUUAAGCCUAGAAUACAUAACCCCAGAAGCAUAAAGAUGUAGAAUCAAUAGUGAUAACGAGGAAAAUUAUGCUACAACUGCAGAAUUUUAUCACACUGUAUAUAUGUAUUUAUUUGCCCAUGAUAGUGCCCUGAACUCAUUCUGGGAGAAUAGCCUAAACACACACUGAAAAAAACAAUUCUUGGACAGGAAGAAAGAAAACAAACUGAAGUAAAAACAAACAAAAUUAUAUAAACAGGCUCCUGUUUGACUUGUAAAAAUACUUGUCAGUGAGUCAUAUUAGUUCUGGGAAGGCAGAAUAAGAGACAAGAAGGCAGCAUUCACCAGAUAGAUGGCAGAGUUCAUAAAUUCAGAGUUGGAAAAUCAGAUGAUACAAGGUCCUCACUUAGAAGAUUUUUUCUAUACCACAUAUCUAAGCGUUUAGAAAUAAAAUUAUAAAGAUUCCCAUCUUACAGAUGGCCUAUAGUCACAGAGCUGAAGUAACAUGGAUUCAACCAAUUCUAGAAGAUGAAAAAUCCUAUGGAACAGAUGCAGGCACAAAUCCCUACAGCAGUCAAUCUCUAAAAUGAAAAUGUUACUUGGAUAGUUAUAUUUGUGCUGUGGCUGUAUUUAAUCAUUGGCUAUAAUUUUCAAAAUAAAAUAUGACAGAUUUUGAAAAUGA
This is a long non-coding RNA of Antechinus flavipes (yellow-footed antechinus), 776 nucleotides long. RefSeq lists it as uncharacterized. The transcript has 2 exons. Lineage: Eukaryota; Metazoa; Chordata; Mammalia; Dasyuromorphia; Dasyuridae. The record is from RefSeq and is a predicted model, not a curated record.